UUAAGACUAGUGCAGUCUUUACUCUCUUGUGAAGAAGUAUGUUUGUUAGAAUAGACAUUCUUUCAUGUUACUUCAAUAUCAUAACUAUAUCAGCAUAUAAUGAUGAAAGGAUAUGCUGAAUUAGUUGUUCUAAUCUUGGACAGGACUAAAAUUUAUCAAGAGGCGGUGACAACAUCAUCCUAGACAAACUGUAUAUGACCUUCCUAUGAGGACUGUACAUAGGUAUAAGAAGAAAAGAUUGACGGUUAUAAGAAAGAGGAAUAACAACAUGACAUGUAAACAUCUUGGAGUUUCAUCUACUGUACUUCAAAUAUGUUUACUUGUAAAAAGAAUCUUUCCAGCUCAAAAAUUGUCUUGCUCAUUCAUUGCUAAGAUAUAAGUUCUUUUUAAUUAGUUCCGAAGGUAUUUGCUGAGUAUUGCAAGAAAAAGGUGAGCUUUGCUUCAUCUUUUUCUCCUGCUCCUGUCAUUUUACGUCAUUAUGAUGCUUGGUUCAUUUCCUCUUUAAUUUUGAAUUCAUUAGUGGAACUAUUCCAUGGAAGAAUACUGUGGUUUUGCUGUCAAGCUGUUUGGAGACUACACUUUUGACAAACAAUGUAAUCAUAAUAGUUCUGUCUAUCCCAAUUCAGACACAUCUACGCAGCUUGUAUUUUUAUUCUCCUUGUAACUUUUGGAUAUUCUCCAAAGCACUAGGGCUUUCUGUUUCAUUUCUUUGAUCUAUGUGCAUUUUGGUUGCAAUUUGAACGUCAAACUUGACAAAUCUAGGGGAACAUUCAACAUUGUGUGAUUAAGAGGCAGUGUAACUUAUGCAUCCAAGGGUGUGGCCUGGUGGUGAGAACCAUGAGGUCUUAGGUUCAAGACCAAAGACCUCAUGGUUCCUGUGGGAGGUGGCAGGUAUCCGAUGGAAUUAGUCGAUGUGUGCACAAGUUACCCUAGAUACUAUGGGUAUUAAAAAAAAAGUGAGAGUGUAACUUAUAGGGUAUACAAGGAUUCGGAGUUUCGAGCUCAUAUUUUUCAAGCAUUUGAUGAUUAAUAAAUAGAACUCUACUAUCUUGGUCAAGUUCACACAUUUUGGCGAACAACAUUUUUUGUAGCUUUGAUCUCUGCAG
RNAcentral lists this long non-coding RNA (1106 nucleotides) under Nicotiana benthamiana. RNAcentral's name for it is "long non-coding RNA (NBEN_LNC031610)". The record is from RNAcentral. Lineage: Eukaryota; Viridiplantae; Streptophyta; Magnoliopsida; Solanales; Solanaceae.